RNAcentral lists this transfer RNA (74 nucleotides) under Sphaerodactylus townsendi. RNAcentral's name for it is "tRNA-Ser". It matches the Rfam family "tRNA". Rfam says of the family: Transfer RNA (tRNA) molecules are approximately 80 nucleotides in length. Their secondary structure includes four short double-helical elements and three loops (D, anti-codon, and T loops). Lineage: Eukaryota; Metazoa; Chordata; Lepidosauria; Squamata; Sphaerodactylidae. The record is from RNAcentral.
GGUGGGGUGAGGCUCAGUGGAAGUGCCUCUACUUUGAACGCAGAAGGCCCCAGGUUCAAUCCCUGGUGUCUCCA